CAUAUAAUAUAAGAGUAGGUCAAGGAAGGUGUGUUUUUGUCAUAAAUGUCACCUAUACUAGAUGUCUAGUCAUUUGUGUAUUAUUUCUUUUUGAUAUCCUGCAAAAUAUGCGCCUUGUUCCGGUGCUCACGCAGGUGGUGGUGGUGGAAAGCUAGCUAGCUUUCACCAGCUUUAAUUGCAUAUCAUGUUUAUUAUAUGUACUAUAUCUAUAUUAUCCUAAUUUCUUUUGAGUACGUGCCUUUGUUUAAUAACUCGGGUGAGUGAAGGAUGUAGACGUGGAGGAUGAUUGAAGGUUUGUGCAGAUGAUGAGUAAUCCCCUUUUGGGUUCAUGCUCGGGAUGGGAAGAGUACGAGCUUGGACUUGGUCUUGGCGAUAUUCCUGGAGCAUAUUCCAUAUUUAUUCCGCACGUGCAUGGCUGA
This 419-nucleotide long non-coding RNA is filed under the name Helianthus annuus (common sunflower). Lineage: Eukaryota; Viridiplantae; Streptophyta; Magnoliopsida; Asterales; Asteraceae. The record is from RNAcentral.